RNAcentral lists this ribosomal RNA (253 nucleotides) under uncultured bacterium. RNAcentral's name for it is "partial 16S ribosomal RNA". It matches the Rfam family "Bacterial small subunit ribosomal RNA", at positions 524 to 776 of the family's 1533-position model. The record is from RNAcentral.
UACAGAGGGGGCAAGCGUUAUUCGGAAUUAUUGGGCGUAAAGGGCGCGUAGGCGGCGAUUUAAGUGACGGGUGAAAUCCCUCGGCUUAACCGAGGAACUGCCUGUCAGACUGGGUUGCUUGAGACCGGGAGAGGCGAGUGGAAUUCCCAGUGUAGCGGUGAAAUGCGUAGAUAUUGGGAGGAACACCAGUGGCGAAGGCGGCUCGCUGGACCGGAACUGACGCUGAGGCGCGAAAGCGUGGGGAGCAAACAGG